GUGCCAGCAGCCGCGGUAAUACGUAGGGUGCAAGCGUUAAUCGGAAUUACUGGGCGUAAAGCGUGCGCAGGCGGUUUUGUAAGACAGUGGUGAAAUCCCCGGGCUCAACCUGGGAACUGCCAUUGUGACUGCAAGGCUAGAGUGCGGCAGAGGGGGAUGGAAUUCCGCGUGUAGCAGUGAAAUGCGUAGAUAUGCGGAGGAACACCGAUGGCGAAGGCAAUCCCCUGGGCCUGCACUGACGCUCAUGCACGAAAG
Molecule: ribosomal RNA, 255 nt
Filed under: uncultured Burkholderiales bacterium
Lineage: Bacteria; Pseudomonadati; Pseudomonadota; Betaproteobacteria; Burkholderiales
Description: partial 16S ribosomal RNA
Rfam family: Bacterial small subunit ribosomal RNA
Source: RNAcentral